UAGCGAAACGGCCCGCAAGGGCCGUCGCCGGGGCGUGGCGGCUCCGGCCUGAUGAGCAGCCGAAG
This 65-nucleotide non-coding RNA is filed under the name Desulfovibrio sp. Lineage: Bacteria; Pseudomonadati; Thermodesulfobacteriota; Desulfovibrionia; Desulfovibrionales; Desulfovibrionaceae. The record is from RNAcentral.